This 700-nucleotide ribosomal RNA is filed under the name uncultured bacterium. Its description in RNAcentral is "bacterial SSU rRNA". It matches the Rfam family "Bacterial small subunit ribosomal RNA", at positions 8 to 721 of the family's 1533-position model. The record is from RNAcentral.
AGAGUUUGAUCAUGGCUCAGGACGAACGCUGGCGGCGUGCCUAACACAUGCAAGUCGAACGGGGUAGCAAUACCCAGUGGCGGACGGGUGCGUAACACGUGAGGAACAUGUCUUUCGGCGGGGAAUAGCCGGCCUAACGGCCGGGUAAUACCGCGUACGACGAUCGAGGCGCAUGUCUUGAUCGUGAAAGCAGCAAUGCGCCGAUAGAGUGCCUCGCGGCCUAUCAGCUAGUUGGUGAGGUCAUGGCUCACCAAGGCGACGACGGGUAGCUGGUCUGAGAGGAUGAUCAGCCACAUUGGGACUGAGACACGGCCCAGACUCCUACGGGAGGCAGCAGUGGGGAAUAUUGCGCAAUGGGCGAAAGCCUGACGCAGCGACGCCGCGUGUGGGAUGAAGGUCUUCGGAUUGUAAACCACUGUCGGGAGGGACGAAUGCGCCGCAAGGCGAGUGACGGUACCUCCAAAGGAAGCACCGGCUAACUCUGUGCCAGCAGCCGCGGUAAUACAGAGGGUGCGAGCGUUGUCCGGAAUCACUGGGCGUAAAGGGCGCGUAGGCGGCUUGGUAAGUAGGGGGUGAAAUCUUGCGGCUCAACUGCAAGGCUGCCUCCUAAACUGUCAGGCUUGAGCACAGUAGAGGCAGGUGGAAUUCCCGGUGUAGCGGUGGAAUGCGUAGAGAUCGGGAAGAACAUCGGUGGCGAAGG